Hordeum vulgare subsp. vulgare (domesticated barley) is the source of this 136-nucleotide non-coding RNA. NCBI's taxonomy places the organism in Eukaryota, Viridiplantae, Streptophyta, Magnoliopsida, Poales, Poaceae. The record is from Rfam.
GAAGUAUUCCCUCCGUCCCCAAAUUCUUGUCUUAGAUUUGUGUAAAUAUGAAUGUAUCUAGUCACGUUUUAGUAUUUAAAUACAUACAUUUCUAGACAAAACUAAGACAAGAAUUUUGGGACGGAGGGAGUAUGAC